This 380-nucleotide long non-coding RNA is filed under the name Brassica napus (rape). RNAcentral's name for it is "long non-coding RNA (BNAP_LNC026658)". Lineage: Eukaryota; Viridiplantae; Streptophyta; Magnoliopsida; Brassicales; Brassicaceae. The record is from RNAcentral.
UUUUACCGGGUCUUUGAAAUGAAACCUAUUGGUUUAGUCUCUUUAAUGUUUUAAUUUCACCUUUCUGAAUUCUUUCCUCUAUUAUUUCCGAAAGUUUUACCAAAUCAUAUAUUUCCUCUUACAAGAAGCUCCAACCGCAUUAAAAAAAAGACACAGAGCUUGUCAAAGAAAUCUCCAACUCGAAAAUGCUUUUGAGCAACUACAACGACAACUAACUCGAGCUGAUGAGCAAAACAAUGAAUAUAAUAUACAGAACUGCAUGCUUGCAGUAUUAAAUAUCUCAAUCCAUUUAAUUUACCCUUCUCAUUACUGGCUCCAUCAUAACCUUGUCCUCUGAACUUUUUCAUACUCAAUCCAUGUUUAGCAAACAAUGAAUCAGC